AUUGAACGCUGGCGGUAGGCCUAACACAUACAAGUCGAACGGCAGCACAGGAGAGCUUGCUCUCUGGGUGGCGAGUGGCGGACGGGUGAGGAAUACAUCGGAAUCUACUCUGUCGUGGGGGAUAACGUAGGGAAACUUACGCUAAUACCGCAUACGACCUACGGGUGAAAGCAGGGGAUCUUCGGACCUUGCGCGAUUGAAUGAGCCGAUGUCGGAUUAGCUAGUUGGCGGGGUAAAGGCCCACCAAGGCGACGAUCCGUAGCUUGUCUGCGGGGAUGAUCAGCCACACUGUACCUGAUACACGGUCCAGACUCCUACAGGAGGCAGCAGUGGGGAAUAUUGGACAAUGGGCGCAAGCCUGAUUCAGCCAUACCGCGUGGGUGAAGAAGGCCUUCGGGUUGUAAAGCCCUUUUGUUGGGAAAGAAAUCCAGCUGGCUAAUACCCGGUUGGGAUGACGGUACCCAAAGAAUAAGCACCGGCCAACUUCGUGCCAGCCGCCGCGGUAA
RNAcentral lists this ribosomal RNA (506 nucleotides) under uncultured bacterium. Its description in RNAcentral is "partial 16S ribosomal RNA". It matches the Rfam family "Bacterial small subunit ribosomal RNA", at positions 30 to 523 of the family's 1533-position model. The record is from RNAcentral.